Molecule: ribosomal RNA, 175 nt
Filed under: uncultured bacterium
Lineage: Bacteria
Description: partial 16S ribosomal RNA
Rfam family: Bacterial small subunit ribosomal RNA
Source: RNAcentral
GCCGGAAUUGCUAGUAAUGGCAGGUCAGCAUACUGCUGUGAAUACGUUCCCGGGCCUUGUACACACCGCCCGUCACACCAUGAGAGUUGGGAAUACCCGAAGCCUGUGAGCUAACGUUAAGAGGCAGCAGUCGAAGGUAGAAUCAAUGAUUGGGGCGAAGUCGUAACAAGGUAAC